UACGUAGGUGACAAGCGUUGUCCGGAUUUACUGGGCGUAAAGAGCGCGCAGGCGGUCGUUCAAGUCGAGUGUGAAAGCCCCCGGCUCAACUGGGGAGGGUCAUUCGAUACUGAUCGACUCGAAGGCAGGAGAGGGUAGUGGAAUUCCCGGUGUAGUGGUGAAAUGCGUAGAUAUCGGGAGGAACACCAGUGGCGAAGGCGACUCCCUGGCCUGUUUCUUGACGCUGAGGCGCGAAAGCUAGGGGAGCAAACGGG
This 254-nucleotide ribosomal RNA is filed under the name uncultured bacterium. RNAcentral's name for it is "partial 16S ribosomal RNA". It matches the Rfam family "Bacterial small subunit ribosomal RNA", at positions 524 to 776 of the family's 1533-position model. The record is from RNAcentral.